UUGAAUUGCAGGGGAAAGCUUCUAGCACUGGAAAAUUUACAUGAAAAGCCCAUAUUAUCACGUCAAUCAAAGAUGAUUGUAAAAGUAUCGGAAAAUUACACACUAUCUUACAUCAUUAAUCUAUUGAACAAUUAUUGUUUUUUUUUAGUGAAGGGAUUUGGAGAGUUGAACUCAAAUUUAACUCUGUCAAUUGGGUGAUAUGCUUACCGUCACUAAACCAAGUUAUUGUUUAUCAAAGAUAAUUAUAAAAGAAAUGAAAAAUUACACAUCAUUAGUCUAUUAAUCAAGUGCUAUUCUCUCAUUUCUUGAAUUUCCACACUCUGAUUUCCCUGCCAUUGUGUGUAGUGACCACCUUCUUCAUCCCAACAGCCAAGCAUGUGAUGGAAGGUCGAAAACUUCGAGGAAUUUGGUCGACGCUGGCAUCGCGGGAGAGCCUUUUCCCUAUUCUUCUUUUGAUCACUCCAUGUGCAUAUCUAGAGGAGCUUGAUGAGGCAUCAUGAUCCAUAACAUAGCUUGAGAGAACCUCACCAGAGUCCUGAUCCAGAAUACGUAGCACACCAUCUAUUCCUCCAAUUACCAAAGUCGAUUUGUCAUUGCUCAGGUGCUGCAAAGAAUAUACAACAUUUGGACUCACUCGUGUCUCCCAUAAUCGUCUCAUCAUCCUGAGGUCAUAGCAAGAUGUAUAUCCAGCUGUUGUUCCCGCAAAUACUAGAUGAGAACAGGGGUUGAAACACAAAGUCUUUAUUCCUGUAACAGGAAGUUGAAUGAGAAUUACGUCAAGUAACUUGCAAUGCACGGUGCCUUAUCAAUUAAACAGAAAGUUUCACUGACAUGUUUAUUAUGUCUCAAACUGGCUGAUUAGAUGUAUUUGGAAAAGAAUUAACAUCCAAAAACAAGAAGCCAUAAGAAUUCCACUGUUUUUCUCGUAAUAUUUACAUCCGUGUAUCAAAGAUAAGAAAGCAAUUACUUACAAAAAGAAAUGAUCCAAGCAUCUGCAAAUAUGGUAUAAACAAAUGACCAUAGUACAAUUAUAAUCAAAGUUAUCCUUGAUAGAGUGAGAAAAAAGUACAACCUGUAGAAUCAGUGGGUCUCAGUGUAGUUUUCCACUGAUCAGAUGAAUAACCAGAUACUGUGAUCCUCCCUAGAGAGGAACCGCUAAGAAUUAACUGAUCAUCACCCAAAGAUAAGCAAGUCACGGGCUCCGGAUGCAUCCUAAUGAUUUUAGAACAUUUCCUACUGUACAUGUCAAAAACACGAACUGUGCCAUCCUCACAUCCAACAACAGCUUCUGGAUCAAGGUAACGCAUGCAUAGACCCUUCAUAUAUGUGCCUUGAUGAGAGGGAAAUGUACUCAUCUGCCCAUUGCGCCUCCAUAAGCAUAGCCGUGUGCCAAUCAAACCAACAAUCUUGCUCUCAUCGAAAUCAAAGUCAACUAAGGGGCAUGAAUCUGGGAUUGAAUAUUCUUCUACACAUUUGUAACUUUCUAAUGACCAAAGACGCAUAACCUUAUCACCUACACCAGUAAGAAUCAAGCCCAUCUUCAUUCGGCACUGGUCAGCCCUAACUGAAUGGGCUGUCCAUUGAUCAAUAUGAAUAGAAGGAGCUUCAAGUAAAGCUUGCCUAUGAUGCUCCAUAGCUAGCUCCUCUAGAUACCUACUCAGUGACUCCUCUAAACCGCUAGUACUACUUGAAAAUCCAACAGAAUUCUCCUUCAGCUGCUUCAAAUAAAGCACUUGAAGUAACUUUGAUCUUUUUAUUAUUGCAUUCCAGGAUUUGCAAACGGCAGAACAACGAACGAGGUCAAAAAAGCCGAGAAAUGAGAAGAUGAUGCAGAGGAUAUCAUGGUCCAAUAAAUGAAUUGCUGUUGGACCUCUCCAGGUCCUCUUCUUCACCGGCAACGGGUUGCCGACCGGUGUCGGGCCCAUUGUUCCCUCGUCACGAGGGCGUUUUCUGGCGCCACACUGACACACGUGCAAAGGUUAUCUUCCGGCAGAGGAGAGAGAGGGAGGGAGAUAAACCUAUGCUUCCGUCCUGCUCAGUAGGGUUGUGCGUUGGGUUGGGCGGAUUCACA
This 2071-nucleotide unclassified non-coding RNA is filed under the name Hevea brasiliensis (rubber tree). Lineage: Eukaryota; Viridiplantae; Streptophyta; Magnoliopsida; Malpighiales; Euphorbiaceae. The record is from RNAcentral.